RNAcentral lists this ribosomal RNA (318 nucleotides) under uncultured Enterobacteriaceae bacterium. Its description in RNAcentral is "bacterial SSU rRNA". It matches the Rfam family "Bacterial small subunit ribosomal RNA", at positions 355 to 655 of the family's 1533-position model. Lineage: Bacteria; Pseudomonadati; Pseudomonadota; Gammaproteobacteria; Enterobacterales; Enterobacteriaceae. The record is from RNAcentral.
UGGGAAGUAUUGCAUCAAUGGCAGGCAAGCCAUGACUGCAGCCAUGCCGCGCUGUAUGAAGAAGGCCAAUUCGGGCCUGGUAAAGUAACUUUCAGCGAGGAGGAAGGCAUUAAGGUUAAUAACCUUGGUGAUUGACGUUACUCGCAGAAGAAGCACCGGCUAACUCCGUGCCAGCAGCCGCGGUAAUACGGAGGGUACAAGCGUUAAUCGGAAUUACUGGGCGUAAAGCGCACGCAGGCGGUCUGUCAAGUCGGAUGUGAAAUCCCCGGGCUCAACCUGGGAACUGCAUCCGAAACUGGCAGGCUAGAGUCUUGUAGA